UGACAGACUUGCGACGACAGGUCAGGUUUCUCCAUUAAUGAACUUCACGAAGUAAUGACACAACCAAAUAGUCGGUCCCUUCAUGUGUCAUGAUGGAUUUUUAUUGGAAAGUCCCUGUGUGAUGUUUACAUCAGAAGAGAUCUCUGAUAAACAGGAGAAAAGCACAAGUGCUGUAGGGCAUCAGUGUCAAGUCAUACAUCAUCUGUGAUGUUCCGAUAACAUCUCAACAACAGUUUCAUUCUUCCCUUGACAGAACAUUGUGAAAUAUUUCGUUCUUUGCGCCAGAGGUGGCCAUUGAUGGCCUUACAGAAGCAGGAUCUGUGUGAGACCCAUCCACCAUCUCCAUCCACCAGUAUGUGAUGUUAUUCAUGAAGUGUUUACAAUUCAAAAUGUUUUUUAGAGCAUCACUGAAUCAUAAACACAAAAAAGGGGAUCAAGGCUUUAUUGUAAGGACAUCAUGGCUGACCUCGAUAUCAAAGCUGUUUUUGACUCCUCAGAACACUGAACCACACAUUUCAUUCCGCUCAUCGACCUCGGAAAUGGAAAAUAUCACCUCACACAAGAGCUUAGAAAACCCUAUUCACUGUACAAUAUCACCUCACACAAGAGCUUAGAAUACCCUGGCAACUGUACCAUAUCACUUGACACAAGAGCUUUGAACAGACUAACACGUAUCUAGGGACAAGGUGCCAAGCUGUCCGCAUUCACGAAGUUAAUUCAGUUCAAUGUCGGACACAGAAUCAGCUCGUUGGGUUGCAGUUAAGAAUCUUAUCGAUGUCAUCGUCAUUUACAAAAGGCAAACCUGUCUGUAUUAAGUCCGGUUCGGGUGGUCGAAAAAAACGUCAAAUAAGCAAGUCCUCUAACACAGACGCAAACCCGGACUUGGGUGUGUUGAUCUUGGCGCACUAGAAACAGUUUCUGACAAAACUGCAAUCUGAAUCUUGGAACUCAUAUCUGUCCAUAUGCAGUUUUGACAACAAAGACAAUAAAUGUGUUCAGAGGUUGUAUUAUACGAAUAACUCUGUUAGUCAGAUCUCCGUCCGCUUUAACGAGGUCAUUUACUUUGACAGGUGUCAAAUGGUCAUCGCUGUUUGUUUACAAACAACGCAGACGUAAUUUUUGGUUUAA
Long non-coding RNA from Haliotis rufescens (red abalone), 1128 nucleotides. RefSeq lists it as uncharacterized. The transcript has 3 exons. NCBI's taxonomy places the organism in Eukaryota, Metazoa, Mollusca, Gastropoda, Lepetellida, Haliotidae. The record is from RefSeq and is a predicted model, not a curated record.